Molecule: ribosomal RNA, 449 nt
Filed under: uncultured bacterium
Lineage: Bacteria
Description: partial 16S ribosomal RNA
Rfam family: Bacterial small subunit ribosomal RNA
Source: RNAcentral
AACGAACGCUGGCGGCAUGCCUAACACAUGCAAGUCGAACGAACCCUUCGGGGUGAGUGGCGCACGGGUGCGUAACACGUGGGAACCUGCCCUUAGGUUCGGAAUAACACAGAGAAAUUUGUGCUAAUACCGGAUAAUGUCUUCGGACCAAAGAUUUAUCGCCUUUGGAUGGGCCCGCGUAGGAUUAGCUAGUUGGUGAGGUAAAGGCUCACCAAGGCGGCGAUCCUUAGCUGGUCUUAGAGGAUGAUCAGCCACACUGGGACUGAGACACGGCCCAGACUCCUACGGGAGGCAGCAGUGGGGAAUCUUAGACAAUGGGCGCAAGCCUGAUCUAGCCAUGCCGCGUGAGCGAUGAAGGCCUUAGGGUUGUAAAGCUCUUUCAGCGAGGAAGAUAAUGACUGUACUCGCAGAAGAAGCCCCGGCUAACUCCGUGCCAGCCGCCGCGGUAA